UACGUAGGGGGCAAGCGUUGUCCGGAUUUAUUGGGCGUAAAGCGCGCGUAGGCGGCGCGGUAUGUCGUGCGUGAAAUCUCCCGGCUUAACUGGGAGGGGCCGUGCGAAACUGCCGGGCUUGAGGUCGGAAGGGGAAAGUGGAAUUCCGGGUGUAGUGGUGGAAUGCGUAGAGAUCCGGAGGAACACCAGCGGCGAAGGCGGCAUCCUGGACUGGUCCUGACACUCAUGAGCGAAAGCGUGGGGAGCGAUCCGG
This 253-nucleotide ribosomal RNA is filed under the name uncultured bacterium. RNAcentral's name for it is "partial 16S ribosomal RNA". It matches the Rfam family "Bacterial small subunit ribosomal RNA", at positions 524 to 776 of the family's 1533-position model. The record is from RNAcentral.